GGCCACGGGGUGGACCCCGCCCCCUCCCCCGCAGUUGAAAGAGCCUAGCUGAGAGCGCAUGAAGGGGAAGGUUGUGGUUGUUGUUAUAGUUAAUACGGGGGAAGUGGUUGCUUGUUUUGCAUCUAGAAGGGCACUGUUUCUGUUUGUUAAAUUUGAGGGACUGGGGUUUUUAUGUUUGCCUCUUUUCUGAGAGAGGCUUAAAAUAGGUGGUGUGUUAAGGGGCUUGGAAAGACAUGUGAUUGUGUUUUGGCAAGCCCAGUUUGCAGGAGUUGUAGUUCCUAUAUCUUCAAAGCUGUGUGGACCGUGUGUUUGCCUGCUGUUGCCAGGGCAUGGACAGAGGAAAGAUCUUGGAGCAUCCAAAGAGGAACGGGAACUUGCAGUGGAUCUGCUUGGAGGACAGUGACUGUUUCUGUAUGGCUGCAUGACCUGUGUGACUGACUGUAUCAGCUCUGUUUGAAGAAACAACACCCAAGAAGAAACCUAUUUUUCUGCAGUAAACCCAGAUGAAGAAAAAAAAUAGCUGGGACACCUUUUAGAAGCUUCGAAACCAGACGGCAAAUAAAGGUGUUUUGGAAUUGCUUGAUUCAUUAAGCCCCUUUCAAGGAUACUUGUGGGAGCUGACUUCUUUCCAUGCUUUGAUGUGGUCAGUACUACAAAAGCAACCAGGUUUUCAUGGAUAAUGGAGAAGAUGUGUGCAUCUAUGACCCUCUGAAAACAGGUUGGUCUUCCCUUCGUAAUUAACAGUAGUUGGGACACAAGUUCUGCCAGCACCUGGUAUCGUAGCUACAUUUGCCAAGAAAACCAUCUUCAUUGGUGUGCAGUGAUGCUUUUAACAUUGGUCUCUUGGCUCACAAUUUUGUGUGAGCUACAGCUCAUGAUAAUGCUUGCCAGUUCUUCCUUGUUCUUCAGCGUGGUGGCCUUUCCUUGAGCUAAGCUUCCCGCAAGAGAAUGGUAACCAUCUUGCCUGCCUCUAAGGGUUUGGGAACAUUGGUUGUCAGUCCUACUUGAAUGAUGGCCCUGAGCAGAGAUGUCCAGAACCUCAAUCGGGGCCCGUCUGAGAAGUGAGCCAACUCGUAAAGUAAACACAGGUUUUCAAGGCAAGUAUGAAAGCAUGAUAUAGUUUAGCUACUAUGAGCCCCUUGGGAGCCAGACUCCUGGAAAUACAAUUUGGUGGCUGUCAAUUUAGCCAUUUCUCAGGACUGAAGGGUUUGUUUUGUUUUUUUUUUUUUUUUUGUCCUCACAACAACUCCACCUUCAGUACAGGCAACCUGCUAAGGAAGUGGUCUCUUUGUAAGCAAUGUGCUACUCUGAUAGAUUGUCGGGUCUGUUGUCUUCAGUGCUGAAACUUAUUCCUCCCCCAAGCCCUUGCUAUCUGUCAAGCAGUGCAGCUAGGGCAGGCUGGUCUUGUGUAAUUGGUAAAAUUCAAUAGUAAUCUUCUCAAAGGUUGAUGUGAUGAGCAGUCAGGGCCUGGAUGUCUUUUCCUGUUUUUGCUAGGCUGACAAACUGAAUAACGUAUCUCAAGACCCCUAGCAUAGUAGUAA
Molecule: long non-coding RNA, 1541 nt
Organism: Alligator mississippiensis (American alligator)
Lineage: Eukaryota; Metazoa; Chordata; Crocodylia; Alligatoridae
Exons: 3
Source: RefSeq, a predicted model, not a curated record